Molecule: ribosomal RNA, 383 nt
Filed under: uncultured bacterium
Lineage: Bacteria
Description: bacterial SSU rRNA
Rfam family: Bacterial small subunit ribosomal RNA
Source: RNAcentral
GACGAACGCUGGCGGCGUGCUUAACACAUGCAAGUCGAGCGGUAAGGCCCUUUCGGGGGUACACGAGCGGCGAACGGGUGAGUAACACGUGGGUGACCUGCCCUCAGCUCUGGGAUAAGCCUGGGAAACCCGGGUCUAAUACUGGAUAUGACUCCAUGACGCAUGUUGUGGGGUGGAAGCCUUGUGCGGCUGAGGAUGGGCCCGCGGCCUAUCAGCUUGUUGGUGGGGUGANGGCCUACCAAGGCGACGACGGGUAGCCGGCCUGAGAGGGCGACCGGCCACACUGGGACUGAGACACGGCCCAGACUCCUACGGGAGGCAGCAGUGGGGAAUCUUGCGCAAUGGGCGAAAGCCUGACGCAGCGACGCCGCGUGAGGGAUGAC